UGGAUAGUGGCGAAAGGGUGAGUAAUGGAUAGGUAACGUGCCCUGUGCUUCGGGAUAGCGCCGUUCGCCUUCGGGCGAACUACCGAAAGGGGCGGUAAUACCGAAUAAUAUCAUUCGUCGAUGGACGAAUGUUCAAAGAUUUAUCGGCAAAGGAGCGGCCUAUCUCCUAUCAGCUUGUUGGUGAGGUAACGGCUCACCAAGGCUAUCACGGGUAGCGGGACUGAGAGGUUGGCCCGUCACAUUGGGACUGAGACACUGCCCAGACCUCCACGGAGGGCUGCAGUAACGAAUAUUGCGCAAUGGGCGAAAGCCUGACGCAGCGACGCCGCGUGUAGGAGGAAGUCCCUCGGGAUGUAAACUACUGUCAGGGGGAAGAAAGUGCGCUUCGGUGCAUUGAUCUAACCCAAAGGAAGUCACGGCUAACUUCGUGCCAGCAGCCGCGGUAAGACGAAGGUGGCAAGCGUUGUUCGGUGUCACUGGGCUUAAAGAGUGCGUAGGCGGAAAGGUAAGCGCCCUGUGAAAACCCCCGGCUUAACCGGGGAAUUGCUCGGCGUACUGCUUUUCUUGAGCCAAGUAGGGGUGCACGGAACUCUUGGUGGAGCGGUGGAAUGCGUAGAUAUCAAGAGGAACGCCGGUGGAGAAAUCGGUGCACUGGGCUUGUGCUGACGCUGAGGCACGAAAGCGUGGGGAGCGAACGGGAUUAGAUACCCCGGUAGUCCACGCCGUAAACGAUG
Molecule: ribosomal RNA, 734 nt
Filed under: uncultured bacterium
Lineage: Bacteria
Description: bacterial SSU rRNA
Rfam family: Bacterial small subunit ribosomal RNA
Source: RNAcentral